GCCGGGGUAGCUCAGCUGGUAGAGCAACGCAUUCGUAAUGCGUGGGUCGUGAGUUCGAAUCUCAUCUUCGGCUCCA
Molecule: transfer RNA, 76 nt
Filed under: Puniceicoccales bacterium
Lineage: Bacteria; Pseudomonadati; Verrucomicrobiota; Opitutia; Puniceicoccales
Description: tRNA-Thr
Rfam family: tRNA
About the family: Transfer RNA (tRNA) molecules are approximately 80 nucleotides in length. Their secondary structure includes four short double-helical elements and three loops (D, anti-codon, and T loops). Further hydrogen bonds mediate the characteristic L-shaped molecular structure. tRNAs have two regions of fundamental functional importance: the anti-codon, which is responsible for specific mRNA codon recognition, and the 3' end, to which the tRNAs corresponding amino acid is attached (by aminoacyl-tRNA synthetases). tRNAs cope with the degeneracy of the genetic code in two manners: having more than one tRNA (with a specific anti-codon) for a particular amino acid; and 'wobble' base-pairing, i.e. permitting non-standard base-pairing at the 3rd anti-codon position.
Source: RNAcentral